CGGUGACGUCAUCAGUCAGCGCCGGUCUCUCGGUGUCACGUGCCCCGUGUGUCUCCGUGGUCGUGGCGUCCGUGUCUCUGAGUUGGUCCCGCGCGCGUUUGGUGCGGCUGGGGCCGGAAAUCCCCGGCAGGAGGCCUCAACUGAAGUAUUGUGUCCAGUCUGGGCACCACAUUUCAGGAAAGAUGUGGACAAAUUGGAGAAAGUCCGAGAAGAGCAACAAAAGUGAUUGAAGGUCUAGAAAACAUGACCUAUGAGCCAACAAUGCUGAGAAAAAGAUGCGCAAGACCCACAAUAUUAACUUCUUCAGAAAAGAAAACCAGGAGACAAAUUAUUGAUAAAAGGGUGGCGUACACAAGGAUAUACUUGGGGAAUCAAAUUGGCCGAUGGCUGACCUUAAGGGAAAAACUGGAUUUCAAAAGUGAUACAGACCUUGCAGGAUUUUUGCUGGAUCUCUAUGACCAUGAUGAUCCAUUACCUAAAGAAGCAGUAGUCUCCUUACCUGAAGAUAUGAAAAUCAUAACUGCGAAAGAAGAAAGAGAUUUACAUGACUCCUCUUCAGCUGUUGGAAUAGAAGGGGACGGAGUGAGUAGCAGAGGGCCCACAAGGAAAGCAGGACCUGGGAGGCCAAAGGCUAUCCGUAUUUCCAGGAGAGGAGCAGAGGCAGCAGCAGAGAAGCAGAGCAUAGAUAUGACAGUGAGGACCGACUGACUGCAGAAUCAGCCUGUUCUUUACCACAAAGUAGGGGAAUCAGAACCGUGAAAGAAGAGAGGCAUUUGCAGGAUGACUCCUCUUCAGUACAGAGUCAUGAAAAAUAAGUCAGCAUUCAUACAACGAGGUUUCCUGGUAUUCAGGUGAAGAUUCUCCUAUUGGCUCUGAAUCUGACCUUUCAGAAAGGUAAAAUUAUUUAAUACAGAAGGUAUUUCCUUUGUGCAUAGUAUAAAUUGGUACUUUGAAGAGCAGUGUAUUUUAUAUUGUUUGUAAAGUAUUUACUAAAUAUUCUUAUUAAAGGAAUAUUAAAAUUA
Malaclemys terrapin pileata is the source of this 1022-nucleotide RNA transcript. RefSeq lists it as uncharacterized. The transcript has 7 exons. Lineage: Eukaryota; Metazoa; Chordata; Testudines; Emydidae. The record is from RefSeq and is a predicted model, not a curated record.